RNAcentral lists this ribosomal RNA (253 nucleotides) under uncultured bacterium. RNAcentral's name for it is "partial 16S ribosomal RNA". It matches the Rfam family "Bacterial small subunit ribosomal RNA", at positions 524 to 776 of the family's 1533-position model. The record is from RNAcentral.
UACGUAGGGUGCGAGCGUUAAUCGGAAUUACUGGGCGUAAAGCGUGCGCAGGCGGUUAUUUAAGUCAGGUGUGAAAGCCCUGGGCUUAACCUAGGAAUUGCGCUUGAGACUGUAUAGCUUGAGUGCGGCAGAGGGGGAUGGAAUUCCGCGUGUAGCAGUGAAAUGCGUAGAUAUGCGGAGGAACACCGAUGGCGAAGGCAAUCCCCUGGGCCAACACUGACGCUCAGGCACGAAAGCGUGGGGAGCAAACAGG